This 456-nucleotide ribosomal RNA is filed under the name Triticum aestivum (bread wheat). RNAcentral's name for it is "partial small subunit ribosomal RNA". The record is from RNAcentral. Lineage: Eukaryota; Viridiplantae; Streptophyta; Magnoliopsida; Poales; Poaceae.
AUGCGGCGCUCGAGUUGGCAUUGCGUGCGUGCGUGCGGGUUGUUUGGUCCUUCGGGUUGGCAUUGUGCUACAAGCGCAAUGAGGACCUCCCCCUCGACCGCUAGCUCGACGCAACCCUUGCUUCACGAAUCUGGCCACUGUUUACAAUGCACACGUUCGGGCAGAUGCUGUGGUGCAUUGCAUUUAUCUAGCGGACUUGAUAGGAACUGCACGAGUGAGGAUCUGCACGAACGUUCUGUGGAAAUGUUUCAUGGUACCGGUUCCCGUCCCCGUGGUAAUACUUGGGCUGAACGAGCAAGAAAAGAUCAUGUUUGCCGCAGCAGUGAGCAUCCUGAGGUCUCCCAUGCUCACAUUGCAAGGAACAAAGAAACAAGAAACUCCACAUCUCGCAUGCCACAAAUGGAAAAUGCUCACGAACGAACCCACCACUACCUAGAAGGUGUGCAGUGCAAGUGA